GCUGGCGGCGUGCCUAAUACAUGCAAGUCGAGCGAACAGAUAAGGAGCUUGCUCCUUUGACGUUAGCGGCGGACGGGUGAGUAACACGUGGAUAACCUACCUAUAAGACUGGGAUAACUUCGGGAAACCGGAGCUAAUACCGGAUAACAUAUUGAACCGCAUGGUUCAAUAGUGAAAGGCGGCUUUGCUGUCACUUAUAGAUAGAUCCGCGCCGUAUUAGCUAGUUGGUAAGGUAACGGCUUACCAAGGCAACGAUACGUUGCCGACCUGAGAGGGUGAUCGGCCACACUGGAACUGAGACACGGUCCAGACUCCUACGGGAGGCAGCAGUAGGGAAUCUUCCGCAAUGGGCGAAAGCCUGACGGAGCAACGCCGCGUGAGUGAUGAAGGUCUUCGGAUCGUAAAACUCUGUUAUCAGGGAAGAACAAAUGUGUAAGUAACUGUGCACAUCUUGACGGUACCUGAUCAGAAAGCCACGGCUAACUACGUGCCAGCAGCCGCGGUAAUACGUAGGUGGCAAGCGUUAUCCGGAAUUAUUGGGCGUAAAGCGCGCGUAGGCGGUUUUUUAAGUCUGAUGUGAAAGCCCACGGCUCCACCGUGGAGGGUCAUUGGAAACUGGAAAACU
This 625-nucleotide ribosomal RNA is filed under the name uncultured bacterium. Its description in RNAcentral is "bacterial SSU rRNA". It matches the Rfam family "Bacterial small subunit ribosomal RNA", at positions 35 to 642 of the family's 1533-position model. The record is from RNAcentral.